UACGUAGGGACCAAGCGUUGUUCGGAUUUACUGGGCGUAAAGGGCGCGUAGGCGGCAAAUUAAGUCAGCUGUGAAAUCUCCGAGCUUAACUCGGAACUGUCAGCUGAUACUGAUGUGCUAGAGUGCGGAAGGGGCAAUCGGAAUUCUUGGUGUAGCGGUGAAAUGCGUAGAUAUCUGGAGGAACACCGGUGGCGAAGGCGGCGUCCUGGACCAACACUGACACUGAGGAGCGAAAGCCAGGGGAGCAAACGGG
This 253-nucleotide ribosomal RNA is filed under the name uncultured bacterium. RNAcentral's name for it is "partial 16S ribosomal RNA". It matches the Rfam family "Bacterial small subunit ribosomal RNA", at positions 524 to 776 of the family's 1533-position model. The record is from RNAcentral.